UACGAGGGGGACAAGCGUUGUUCGGAAUUAUUGGGCGUAAAGGGUGCGUAGGCGGUCUGAUAAGUCAUCUGUGAAAGUCCAGGGCUCAACCCUGGAAUGCCGGUGGAAACUGUCGAGCUAGAGUCCGGAAGAGGCGAGUGGAAUUCCUGGUGUAGCGGUGAAAUGCGCAGAUAUCAGGAGGAACACCAAUGGCGAAGGCAGCUCGCUGGGACGGUACUGACGCUGAGACGCGAAAGCGUGGGGAGCAAACAGG
Molecule: ribosomal RNA, 253 nt
Filed under: uncultured bacterium
Lineage: Bacteria
Description: partial 16S ribosomal RNA
Rfam family: Bacterial small subunit ribosomal RNA
Source: RNAcentral